This 468-nucleotide ribosomal RNA is filed under the name uncultured bacterium. RNAcentral describes it as "partial 16S ribosomal RNA". It matches the Rfam family "Bacterial small subunit ribosomal RNA", at positions 28 to 507 of the family's 1533-position model. The record is from RNAcentral.
GACGAACGCUGGCGGCGUGCUUAACACAUGCAAGUCGAACGGAAAGGCCCUGCUUUUGUGGGGUGCUCGAGUGGCGAACGGGUGAGUAACACGUGAGUAACCUGCCCUUGACUUUGGGAUAACUUCAGGAAACUGGGGCUAAUACCGGAUAGGAGCUCCUGCUGCAUGGUGGGGGGUGGAAAGUUUCGGCGGGUGGGGAUGGACUCGCGGCUUAUCAGCUUGUUGGUGGGGUAGUGGCUGACCAAGGCUUUGACGGGUAGCCGGCCUGAGAGGGUGAACGGCGACAUUGGGACUGAGAGACGGCCCAGACUCCUACGGGAGGCAGCAGGGGGGAAUAUUGCACAAUGGGCGGAAGCCUGAUGCAGCAACGCCGCGUGCGGGAUGACGGCCUGCGGGUUGUAAACCGCUUUCGCCUGUGACGAAGCGUGAGUGACGGUAAUGGGUAAAGAAGCACCGGCUAACUACGUG